CUACUGGGUCAGCGCCAUCUUGUCAGCAACAGGUGAGGAGGCAGCUGCAAACAGCGAUCAAAAGAAUUCAUCUAGCUCCAAGGUCCUCUUGUUUGCUCACAAAUAUCAUUCCGAUCCUAUACGAGCGAGAUAUAAGGGCAGCAGUUCCUACAGGCACCCAACGAGCCAGAGAUGUCAUUCUACAGUAGCAAAGCGCUGCAGCUGAUGGAUGUAUCAAAUUGAAUGCCCGGAUCCAGCUGUACAAGGAGAAGUACGUCAGAAAUCUGCACAAUAGAUCUUGUACACAAGUACUUUAAA
This 297-nucleotide long non-coding RNA is filed under the name Coccomyxa subellipsoidea. Its description in RNAcentral is "long non-coding RNA (CSUB_LNC000026)". The record is from RNAcentral. Lineage: Eukaryota; Viridiplantae; Chlorophyta; Trebouxiophyceae; Coccomyxaceae.